UCGACGGAGAUAAUUUGGUAGUUUACUAUUAAAUUAUCUUAGUGGCGGACGGGUGAGUAACACGUGGGCAACCUGCCUCGGAGUGGGGGAUAACACCGGGAAAUCGGUGCUAAUACCGCAUAAAAUUAGAGCUUCGCAUGAAGCUUUAAUCAAAGGAGAAAUCCGCUUUGAGAUGGGCCCGCGUCUGAUUAGCUAGUUGGUGGGGUAGAAGCUUACCAAGGCGACGAUCAGUAGCCGAUCUGAGAGGAUGAACGGCCACACUGGAACUGAGACACGGUCCAGACUCCUACGGGAGGCAGCAGUGGGGAAUAUUGCACAAUGGAGGAAACUCUGAUGCAGCAACGCCGCGUGGAGGACGAAGGUUUUCGGAUUGUAAACUCCUGUCUUUUGGGACGAUAAUGACGGUACCAAAAGAGGAAGCCACGGCUAACUACGUGCCAGCAGCCGCGGUAAUACGUAGGUGGCGAGCGUUGUCCGGAAUUACUGGGCGUAAAGGGCGCGUAGGCGGCCUAUUAAGUCAGAUGUGAAACCCCCAGGCUCAACUUGGGGAUUGCAUUUGAAACUGGUGGGCUUGAGUGUCGGAGAGGAAAGUGGAAUUCCUAGUGUAGCGGUGAAAUGCGUAGAUAUUAGGAGGAACACCAGUGGCGAAGGCGACUUUCUGGACGAUAACUGACGCUGAGGCGCGAAAGCGUGGGGAGCAAACAGGAUUAGAUACCCUGGUAGUCCACGCUGUAAACGAUGGAUACUAGGUGU
Molecule: ribosomal RNA, 753 nt
Filed under: uncultured bacterium
Lineage: Bacteria
Description: bacterial SSU rRNA
Rfam family: Bacterial small subunit ribosomal RNA
Source: RNAcentral